RNAcentral lists this transfer RNA (63 nucleotides) under Pseudomonas putida. RNAcentral's name for it is "tRNA-Ser". The record is from RNAcentral. Lineage: Bacteria; Pseudomonadati; Pseudomonadota; Gammaproteobacteria; Pseudomonadales; Pseudomonadaceae.
CGGUAUGUAGCAUCCACCUUGACAUGGUGGGGGUCGUUGGUUCGAGUCCAAUUGUGCCUACCA